Molecule: long non-coding RNA, 1054 nt
Filed under: Equus caballus (horse)
Lineage: Eukaryota; Metazoa; Chordata; Mammalia; Perissodactyla; Equidae
Description: lncRNA (ENSECAG00000029245.3)
Source: RNAcentral
ACACAGUUGGUGACCAGAAGUGUCAGAAGUGAAAUGUUUUCUGUGAGCAUAGAGGAGAUGCACAGGAUAAAGAAACACAGGAGGAAGAAUUGGAUUUUUCCUACACAGUAAAGAAAGAAACAGAGUUUUGGCUUUACAGGAAACAAUACCAAAAGCCUCCACAUGAAGCAAAAUACUUUCUUGUGGUUAAGCAAUAUAGUACUAUUUGAAAAAUAUAUAUCUCAUUAAGAUCCAGCCAUGAAAGGGAGAACAAAAGAGGAAAAUGCCUUGAACAGAAUAACUCUCAACAGAUGGAUAUUGAUUACUAGAGAGCCAGUGAACAACACACCAGGCAGCAAAAGCAGCUCUCCUACGGCCAUGUCACGUGCACGGCUGAAAUGCAAGAUCUCGGAAGCUGCAGCAGAUCAGCUGAAGCUGAGUGCAGGUGAAAGACACUCUUACUGAAGUGCCGUCAUUAGCCCUGUUACAACCUAGAAGCUAAAGGCCGGGUCAGGCCUCGGCAUAUGGACAACACUAUAAGAAGGACUAAGACACAAUCUCUCUCAUGUGUGGAAAACAGUAAAGAUAAGCAGGCCGCCUCUAAGAGAAGUGAGUUUGCUUUAUCUCGGCCUGUGCUCUGAAGUCCGAGAGGUUGUCUGAGGGGGAGAAAUGCCCAGGGCGGUGCAGGCACAAGGGCACGGGGUGGAAACCCCCAAACCCUCUCCUCCUUCAACCAGAGAAACUCUAGCUAAUGUCUUUUAUGUGUUUGGUUUCUCUAAAGAUUUUGUUUGAAGAAAGGCUUCAGAGGCUAGGUUUGUUUUUUUCUUUCUUUGAGAGCACUCGUGUAGACAGCAUAAUGCCCGGAAACCUAUUCAAAACAUUAAAACGUAAACAGGUAAUAUUUUCUAACCUCUUUACAUCUUACACAACUGGGACCAUGAAUCUUAGGAGAGGCAAAUUGAGGAGACACAGGGGGAGAGUCAUUCCUCACAUCCUUGCGCUGCGUAUGCAAGUGUACUUCUAAAAUGUUUACAACUUUGUACGAAAGAAGACAAAAGUUGCUAUUAACUUGCAG